CCUACGGGAGGCAGCAGUGAGGAAUAUUGGACAAUGGGCGCAAGCCUGAUCCAGCCAUGCCGCGUGCAGGAAGAAGCAUCUAUGGUGUGUAAACUGCUUUUGUACAGGAAGAAACACUCCCUCGUGAGGGAGCUUGACGGUACUGUAAGAAUAAGGACCGGCUAACUCCGUGCCAGCAGCCGCGGUAAUACGGAGGGUCCGAGCGUUAUCCGGAAUCAUUGGGGUUUAAAGGGUCCGUAGGCGGUUUAAUAAGUCAGUGGUGAAAUCUGGUCGCUCAACGAUCAAACGGCCAUUGAUACUGUUAGACUUGAAUUAUAAGGAAGUAACUAGAAUAUGUAGUGUAGCGGUGAAAUGCUUAGAUAUUACAUGGAAUACCAAUUGCGAAGGCAGGUUACUACUUAUGGAUUGACGCUGAUGGACGAAAGCGUGGGGAGCGAACAGGAUUAGAUACCCUGGUAGUCCACGCCGUAAACGAUGGAUACUAGCUGUUCGGAGCAAUCUGAGUGCUAGCGAAAGUGAUAAGUAUCCCACCUGGGGAGUACGUUCGCAAGAAUUGAAACUCAAAUGAAUUGAGG
RNAcentral lists this ribosomal RNA (575 nucleotides) under uncultured bacterium. RNAcentral describes it as "bacterial SSU rRNA". It matches the Rfam family "Bacterial small subunit ribosomal RNA", at positions 338 to 915 of the family's 1533-position model. The record is from RNAcentral.